Molecule: ribosomal RNA, 253 nt
Filed under: uncultured bacterium
Lineage: Bacteria
Description: partial 16S ribosomal RNA
Rfam family: Bacterial small subunit ribosomal RNA
Source: RNAcentral
CACGUAGGGCGCAAGCGUUGUCCGGAAUUAUUGGGCGUAAAGAGCUCGUAGGCGGUCUGUUGCGUCCGCUGUGAAAACUCGGGGCUUAACCCCGAGCCUGCAGUGGAUACGGGCAGACUAGAGUUCGGUAGGGGAGUCUGGAAUUCCUGGUGUAGCGGUGAAAUGCGCAGAUAUCAGGAGGAACACCGGUGGCGAAGGCGGGUCUCUGGGCCGAUACUGACGCUGAGGAGCGAAAGCGUGGGGAGCGAACAGG